GAACUUAGCAGAGAUGCUUUGGUGCCUUCGGGAACUCUGAGACAGGUGCUGCAUGGCUGUCGUCAGCUCGUGUUGUGAAAUGUUGGGUUAAGUCCCGCAACGAGCGCAACCCUUAUCCUUUGUUGCCAGCGGUCCGGCCGGGAACUCAAAGGAGACUGCCAGUGAUAAACUGGAGGAAGGUGGGGAUGACGUCAAGUCAUCAUGGCCCUUACGAGUAGGGCUACACACGUGCUACAAUGGCGCAUACAAAGAGAAGCGACCUCGCGAGAGCAAGCGGACCUCAUAAAGUGCGUCGUAGUCCGGAUUGGAGUCUGCAACUCGACUCCAUGAAGUCGGAAUCGCUAGUAAUCGUAGAUCAGAAUGCUACGGUGAAUACGUUCCCGGGCCUUGUACACACCGCCCGUCACACCAUGGGAGUGGGUUGCAAAAGAAGUAGGUAGCUUAACCUUCGGGAGGGCGCUUACCACUUUGUGAUUCAUGACUGGGGUGAAGUCGUAACAAGGUAGGCGUACGUGU
RNAcentral lists this ribosomal RNA (516 nucleotides) under uncultured bacterium. Its description in RNAcentral is "bacterial SSU rRNA". It matches the Rfam family "Bacterial small subunit ribosomal RNA", at positions 993 to 1509 of the family's 1533-position model. The record is from RNAcentral.